RNAcentral lists this ribosomal RNA (253 nucleotides) under uncultured bacterium. RNAcentral describes it as "partial 16S ribosomal RNA". It matches the Rfam family "Bacterial small subunit ribosomal RNA", at positions 524 to 776 of the family's 1533-position model. The record is from RNAcentral.
GACAGAGGGGGCUAGCGUUGUUCGGAAUUACUGGGCGUAAAGCGCACGUAGGCGGCCACUCAAGUCAGAGGUGAAAGCCCAGGGCUCAACCGUGGAAUUGCCUUUGAAACUAGGUGGCUUGAACAUAGGAGAGGCGAGUGGAAUUCCGAGUGUAGAGGUGAAAUUCGUAGAUAUUCGGAAGAACACCAGUGGCGAAGGCGACUCGCUGGACUAUUGUUGACGCUGAGGUGCGAAAGCGUGGGGAGCAAACAGG